AUUGAACGCUGGCGGCAUGCUUUACACAUGCAAGUCGAACGGCAGCGCGGGCUUCGGCCUGGCGGCGAGUGGCGAACGGGUGAGUAAUGCAUCGGAACGUGCCCAGUAGUGGGGGAUAGCCCGGCGAAAGCCGGAUUAAUACCGCAUACGACCUGAGGGUGAAAGCGGGGGACCGAAAGGCCUCGCGCUAUUGGAGCGGCCGAUGUCGGAUUAGCUAGUUGGUGGGGUAAAGGCUUACCAAGGCGACGGUCCGUAGCUGGUCUGAGAGGACGACCAGCCACACUGGGACUGAGACACGGCCCAGACUCCUACGGGAGGCAGCAGUGGGGAAUUUUGGACAAUGGGGGCAACCCUGAUCCAGCCAUGCCGCGUGCGGGAAGAAGGCCUUCGGGUUGUAAACCGCUUUUGUUCGGGAAGAAAUCCUCUGAGCUAAUACCCCGGGGGGAUGACGGUACCGGAAGAAUAAGCACCGGCUAACUACGUG
Molecule: ribosomal RNA, 484 nt
Filed under: uncultured bacterium
Lineage: Bacteria
Description: partial 16S ribosomal RNA
Rfam family: Bacterial small subunit ribosomal RNA
Source: RNAcentral